UCGAGUUUAAGCUAUGCCAAGAGAUCACACAACUUUGAUACGGUCGGUUCCCUUGGUAAUUAUUAAGGGGAAGUCCCGAAACUGAACUAGUGAAUUGAUAGGAUCAUUGCUAACCCAUUGGCUUCACGAGAUCGGAUAGCGCAACAUAGGGCAUUUUCUUAAUGAUAAGAUUCUAUUUCUACACUCUAGACAUAUCUGGCCUCUGAUUUCCUUGCCCGCCUAAGAAUAUGCCUUCCUUUUUCACAGGUGGGACGAAGUCGCAUUGAUGGAAUCGGCCACUUAUCCAAUUCCGUCGCCGAAAAAGUCCGUUAGGCUUUCUUUACUUGACGAGUAUACCUUAGUUACCAG
RNAcentral lists this long non-coding RNA (348 nucleotides) under Musa acuminata (dwarf banana). RNAcentral's name for it is "long non-coding RNA (MACU_LNC007835)". Lineage: Eukaryota; Viridiplantae; Streptophyta; Magnoliopsida; Zingiberales; Musaceae. The record is from RNAcentral.